GGUGAUUUGCAGAACCUGUAAUGAAACUGUGCGAUAUUUUAUGGGUUUCUUCUGCCUUUAUUGCCACGUGGGGUGCGGGACAGCAUCGGCUGCUGCAGAGAUCGUGGUGCUGAUCUGCUCAGUGAGAAGCACCGGAGGAGAAAAGCAGUUAAAAAGGCUGUUUAUGAAAUGUGGCAGUGUCAGGAGGAACACCCAAACUCAGGUUCUCAUUCAAAGGAUUGAAAUUGAAUUUGCAACAGAGCUAAGGCGUUGAAAUGCUCUGAGGAUCUCUGUCCUACUCUGGAAGAAAUGAAGAAAGCUUGGGUAUAGCAAAAGCUGUUCCCUCAAACACAGCUCUCAGAGACAUCCAGAUGCCUCAGCACAUAAAGCACAGAGCCACAACUACAAACAGUUUAUGAAAUACCUGAGGAGAAAAUGUGUCUGAGCGAUGUGAGAGCACAGUGUAAACAGUCAUUAGGAUAUAUUCACCAUUGUGCUGCCUGAUCUCCAGAUGAGCCACUCCAGGAACACUGAGCCUGUCAUCUCCCAGGAAAUCAAAGCUCACUGCCAUCCCAGGAGCCACCAGAGCAGUUCAAUCACGAACAGCUCCCGACAAAAAGGGCUCCUCAUCCUGCCCUGAGGAAUUCAGCUCUACAGAACUCUGGGAGAACCAAACCCCCACAGCAGCGUGAGCUCAGUUUGACAGGUGAUAAUUAACUGCUGAUAAUAUAAUUGCCGUUUUGAGGCAAAAAUGGGUUUCAUUAAAAACUACUUAGCAUUUGCAUGGCAUGGGACAGCCUCCUCCAAGUAGGAAUGUUCAGAGUUCAGUCGCUACUGGCAAGUUUACCUCAUGCUGAACAUGGAUCCUGCAGGGGAAAUCCAAGGGUCCCAUCUUCCCAGGGAGUUGGAGAUGAUUUGUCACUUUCCAGGGCUUCGGAUCUGAGGGCUGCAGUGGCCCAGGCAGUGCCCCUGGGAGGGAAUUGCUGUGUCAGCCACAGCAGCCUCCAGGAAAUGGAGGGAAUUAAAGUCCCUGGAAGGGGCCCUUCCCUUCAGAGGGGAGGAUUGGAUCUUUCCAUGAUCAUGGAUAUUGCAGGGUCGGUCAGGAUCAGGAUGUGAUACCCUGGGCUGGUUUGAGGGGAUUGUACUUGAUACAGGGGGGCACAGUUAGAAGGGAUCAGCUCAUUGCCUCUGAGGGUCUGGGGCACAUCCUGGCUCAAAGUUACCACUGGAUGUUCCAGAGAGGAAAACAGUCAGAGACCCCUGUGACCCCUCCCGUGAGUGCCCAGGGAUCCUUUAAUGCUGCCAUUCCUUCUGGCUGCAGUCCUUCUCUGCUCCUGCCUCCAGGUGGGGAGCACGCAGUGUGGAGCUGUCCCCAACCCCUUCCUGUCCCCAUUCCUGCUGACCAGGGGUGUGGAACUGUCCCCAACCCCUUCCUGUCCCCAUUCCUGCUGCACAGGGGUGUGGAGCUGUCCUCAGCCCCUUCCUGUCCCCAUUCCUGCUGACCAGGGGUGUGGAACUGUCCUUCCCUUCCUGCCUGACCAUGGCUGUCCUUGGCAUUGGGAAGUCCCAGCCUGAUUUUGGGAAGGAACAGAAUAGAAUCACAGCUUCUGCUCAGAGCUUCUGGUGCUGCUCAUUGCACAAGAAAAAGUCAAAUUACCCAGAUCAAGGAGAGAGGCUGUGGCCACGACCUGAGAAGAAUCAGACUCAUUAACUUGCAGAUUUCCCCACCUUCUGGGUUUCCAAACAUGCAAGUGUUCUAUACUAAAUUAUGCUUCUCAAAGGUUAAUUUUUAAUAAGGCAGUAAAUGUAUUUAAACAAUGAUUAUUAACAAAAAAAUGUGUGAGGUUUGCAAUGUAAGAGGUAAUUAUCUUCUCCAGAAUAGUUCUAACAAUGCAGUUCCUUCUUGUCUGCAAUGAUCCUUUGGUAUUUGUUUAACCUGCAGUAAGAUUCUUAUUAAACCCAGCUGAAAUGGGUGUAAUUCGAGGCAUCACAGCACAUUUCAAGAAAAACAGCUCUGGUUGAACCGAGGUCCUUUCCCUGCCAGUUACAGCUGUCUUUUAUGUCACAGUGACUUGUCCCCAAGCUCUUGAGCUCCACCAGAGGCAGCUGCAGAGCAGUGCCCAGGUUUGGCACUUCAAGCUCAGUCCCAAACCAAUGAAAUCCCCACUGUCUGUCCAAAUCCCCUGUCCAUGUUCCCCAUGGACAUUUCACCCAGCAGGGCAGGAGCUGCUCCCUUGCUGCAGAUGGACCUGGAAGAGUGGAAAUAUCCCAGUCCAGGGGGAUGAUCAGCAAUCCUUCCAUUCGGAGACAUCCCAGAGCUGCUGCAGCAGAGGCAGGCAGAGGCAAAGCCCUUCCCAGCACUCUCUGAGCAAGAGGCUCCUGAGGGGAGGGGGUGAAUUUCCCCUGUCCCACGUGUGUGUCCUGUGGUGACCCCACCAAAAGCUGCAGCUCCAACUCUGCUGGUGCUGCUGUCUCAGCCUGGAGUCUCUGCGAGGGUUUUUUCCCCACAAUAGCGUCUCUUUCAUGGAUGAUUGGUAAUAGAAGUUCCAUUAUGAGAUCACAAAACACUGGGGGAUAUGUUAAUGUGCUUCAGCGUGUAAUCCAGAAUAAUAUCAUUGCAAGGAAUUGCAUUUUGUCUGCAACUGAGGCAGCAAAUAGGAGCUGCUUCUUUUCCAUCAUUAAUAUCCAUUGCUGAAUUAAUGCUUUCCUUCCCACAAUCCUGGGUAAAAUUGCCCAAAUGUGCAUUGUGCUGAUUUAUACAGGAUGUGUCACCUGCUUUUCGCUGGGGAAGCAAACCUUUGGGGCUGAGCAGGGCUCCCCUGACCUCACCAGGAGCUGCUUUGGGUGACCAAAGUCCUGCACCAGGAGCUUCAGCCAGGGUCACAUGAGGACAGGCUCUCCUCCUGUGGUAAACUGAAGAUGUGCCCUCCUCCUGGGGCCUGUCUGUGAUAAAUUGAAGAAAUAUCCCAAAUCCUGUGGCCUGUCCUGUGUUAAAUUUCAGAAAUGUCCCCAGUCCUGUGGCCUGUGUUAAAUUUCAGAAAUGCCCAAAUCCUGUGGCCUGUCCUGUGUUAAAUUUCAGAAAUGCCCCCAGUUCUAUGGCCUGUCUGUGUUAAAUUUCAGAAAUGCCCAAAUUGUGUGGCCUGUCCUGUAUUAAACUUCAGAAAUGCCCCCAGUUCUGUGGCCUGUCCUGUGUUAAAUUUCAGGAAUUCCCCAGUCCUGAGGCUGUUGUGGUACCAAAGCCCUGCUGGGCUCCCAGCAGCAGCUCCACUCCCAUCGAUUGGUGCAGCUCUGUCAGACAGAGCCUUGCUCCAUAAAAAACACUGGGAUUCUCAGCUGGAAAGCAUCCAAGAACGACUAAAAGGUUUCUCGAGCAUAUUUUAUUAUUUUUUGGUAGCAGAAUUCCCACUCCUCCUCCCUGAAGUGCUAUACAUCUCUCUAAUGCAAAUCCCAUUAAUCCACGAACUGUCCAACCCAACAUUCAGGGAGUCCUGCAUUGAUCCAUCCCUGAUAUGUGACAGCUCCAGCCAUAUUUCAGGUGAUCAGGGAAGGCUUUAUCCUGUCCUUGCUCUGAAAAAGCAGCAGCACGUUUCAAAUUUCCCGUAUUCUGUGGACAAACCAGCUGGAAUUGUGAGCCACAGAUGCUCACUUGACAGAUGGACUCCUGGCCAUG
This is a long non-coding RNA of Passer domesticus (house sparrow), 3649 nucleotides long. RefSeq lists it as uncharacterized. The transcript is spliced from 3 exons. NCBI's taxonomy places the organism in Eukaryota, Metazoa, Chordata, Aves, Passeriformes, Passeridae. The record is from RefSeq and is a predicted model, not a curated record.